CCUACGGGUGGCAGCAGUGGGGAAUAUUGCACAAUGGGGGAAACCCUGAAGCAGCGACGCCGCGUGAGUGAAGAAGUUAUUCGGUAUGUAAAGCCCUUUUAGUAGGGAAGAAAAUGACGGUAUCUGACUAAUAAGCACCGGCUAACUCCGUGCCAGCAGCCGCGGUAAUACGGAGGGGGCAAGCGUUAUUCGGAUUCACUGGGCGUAAAGGGCGCGUAGGCGGAAGUGCAAGUCAGAGGUGAAAGGCGGGGGCUUAACCAUCGGACUGCACUGGAAACUGUUCGGCUAGAGUAUAGGAGAGGUAGGUGGAAUUCCUGGUGUAGCGGUAAAAUGCGUAGAGAUCAAGAGGAACACCAAUGGCGAAGGCGGCUUACUAGACUAUAACUGACGUUGAGGCUCGAAAGCGUGGGGAGCAAACAGGAUUAGAUACCCGAGUAGUC
This 440-nucleotide ribosomal RNA is filed under the name uncultured bacterium. Its description in RNAcentral is "partial 16S ribosomal RNA". It matches the Rfam family "Bacterial small subunit ribosomal RNA", at positions 338 to 795 of the family's 1533-position model. The record is from RNAcentral.